Molecule: ribosomal RNA, 486 nt
Filed under: uncultured bacterium
Lineage: Bacteria
Description: partial 16S ribosomal RNA
Rfam family: Bacterial small subunit ribosomal RNA
Source: RNAcentral
AUUGAACGCUGGCGGCAUGCCUUACACAUGCAAGUCGAACGGCAGCACGGGUGCUUGCACCUGGUGGCGAGUGGCGAACGGGUGAGUAAUACAUCGGAACAUGUCCUGUAGUGGGGGAUAGCCCGGCGAAAGCCGGAUUAAUACCGCAUACGAUCCACGGAUGAAAGCGGGGGACCUUCGGGCCUCGCGCUAUAGGGUUGGCCGAUGGCUGAUUAGCUAGUUGGUGGGGUAAAGGCCUACCAAGGCGACGAUCAGUAGCUGGUCUGAGAGGACGACCAGCCACACUGGGACUGAGACACGGCCCAGACUCCUACGGGAGGCAGCAGUGGGGAAUUUUGGACAAUGGGCGAAAGCUUGAUCCAGCAAUGCCGCGUGUGUGAAGAAGGCCUUCGGGUUGUAAAGCACUUUUGUCCGGAAAGAAAUCCUUGACUCUAAUACAGUCGGGGGAUGACGGUACCGGAAGAAUAAGCACCGGCUAACUACGUG